GGGCGGUUAGCUCAGCUGGUUAGAGCAUUCGGUUUACAUCCGAAAGGUCGUAGGUUCAAAUCCCACACCGCCCACCA
Molecule: transfer RNA, 77 nt
Filed under: candidate division WWE3 bacterium RIFCSPHIGHO2_01_FULL_42_13
Lineage: Bacteria; candidate division WWE3
Description: tRNA-Val
Rfam family: tRNA
About the family: Transfer RNA (tRNA) molecules are approximately 80 nucleotides in length. Their secondary structure includes four short double-helical elements and three loops (D, anti-codon, and T loops).
Source: RNAcentral